AUGCGCAUCAACCUGCACCGCGGGCUGUGGUUCCGCUACGACCUCAAGUUCGUCCUCGUAGCCAUGGUGCGGGACGCCGCCCUGCGGUUCAGCAAGGGCCAGUGCAAAACCUUCUGUAGCGACCUUGCCGACGACGACAUCCUCCUCGUCCUCGCCAGGCAGGCACACUAUCGAAACAGGCUCUUUCUCUACAGGUGCCCCAUUGUCACAAAGGAAGGAUUAGCGAAGGGCGACUAUUACGGUACUUGUACUUUUUCUGACUACCAUCCCUAUAGCCCAGUGUGUAGUUACUGUCGCCCUUGGAACUAUCUGGAAUACGACGCCGACGAAUCCUAUGAAGCUUGUUGCUACUAUCUUGGUGACGGCGAUGAUGUUGAUGAGGCCGAUCUCGAAGAGCAUGAGAAGAUCCUAGACAUCAAGAGCAUGCGCAGGUACUUAAGCUAA
RNAcentral lists this ribosomal RNA (444 nucleotides) under Triticum aestivum (bread wheat). RNAcentral's name for it is "partial small subunit ribosomal RNA". The record is from RNAcentral. Lineage: Eukaryota; Viridiplantae; Streptophyta; Magnoliopsida; Poales; Poaceae.